UGAGGGGGUACAGUCCCAACCCAAUGUGAACGUUUACCAAACUGUUGCCUCCGGCGGGGUCACGCCCCGGGUGCGUCGCAGCCCCGGAACCAGGCGCCCGCCGGUAGGAACCAACCAAACUCUUUCUGUAGUCCCCUCGCGGACGUAUUUCUUACAGCUCUGAGCAAAAAUUCAAAAUGAAUCAAAACUUUCAACAACGGAUCUCUUGGUUCUGGCAUCGAUGAAGAACGCAGCGAAAUGCGAUAAGUAAUGUGAAUUGCAGAAUUCAGUGAAUCAUCGAAUCUUUGAACGCACAUUGCGCCCGCCAGUAUUCUGGCGGGCAUGCCUGUCCGAGCGUCAUUUCAACCCUCGAACCCCUCCGGGGGAUCGGCGUUGGGGAUCGGGACCCCUCACACGGGUGCCGGCCCCGAAAUACAGUGGCGGUCUCGCCGCAGCCUCUCCUGCGCAGUAGUUUGCACAACUCGCACCGGGAGCGCGGCGCGUCCACGUCCGUAAAACACCCAACUUUCUGAAAUGUUGACCUCGGAUCAGGUAGGAAUACCCGCUGAACUUAAGCAUAUCAAUAAGCGGAGGAAAAGAAACCAACAGGGAUUGCCCCAGUAACGGCGAGUGAAGCGGCAACAGCUCAAAUUUGAAAUCUGGCCCCUCCGGGUCCGAGUUGUAAUUUGUAGAGGAUGCUUUUGGUGAGGUGCCGCCCGAGUUCCCUGGAACGGGACGCCACAGAGGGUGAGAGCCCCGUCUGGCUGGCCACCGAGCCUCUGUAAAGCUCCUUCGACGAGUCGAGUAGUUUGGGAAUGCUGCUCAAAAUGGGAGGUAUAUGUCUUCUAAAGCUAAAUAUUGGCCAGAGACCGAUAGCGCACAAGUAGAGUGAUCGAAAGAUGAAAAGCACCUUGAAAAGAGGGUUAAACAGUACGUGAAUGUUUUAAAAGGGGAAAAAGGAUCUGUAUUU
This 949-nucleotide ribosomal RNA is filed under the name Trichoderma asperellum. Its description in RNAcentral is "eukaryotic LSU rRNA". The stretch from base 518 to 949 matches the Rfam family "Eukaryotic large subunit ribosomal RNA", at positions 1 to 434 of the family's 3401-position model. The record is from RNAcentral. Lineage: Eukaryota; Fungi; Ascomycota; Sordariomycetes; Hypocreales; Hypocreaceae.